Molecule: long non-coding RNA, 306 nt
Filed under: Elaeis guineensis (African oil palm)
Lineage: Eukaryota; Viridiplantae; Streptophyta; Magnoliopsida; Arecales; Arecaceae
Description: long non-coding RNA (EGUI_LNC020846)
Source: RNAcentral
GGUGUUUGGUUAGAAAGAAUUUGGAUUUGAAAAAUGAAUAAAAAUGGAUGGCUCUUAAUCCAAUUAUUUAUGACCAUGAACCAAAUAUUUUAAAAGAUACGAAUAUUCUGAUUCUCAUUCUAAUUUAUUUUUAUUCUGUUCCUAUUCCUAUUUCGAUCCGGAGUGCGAACCAAACAUCCUUUUAAGUUGCUUAAAAUUUAAACAUACAUUACCACAUAGCGCAGAUUAAGUACAUAAGUAGAAACACCUACAUGGGCAUAGCAACUCCCUACACAAAGCCACAUCCAUCUAGUUACCUCAUCCUAA